CCUACGGGUGGCAGCAGUGAGGAAUAUUGGUCAAUGGACGCAAGUCUGAACCAGCCAUGCCGCGUGCAGGAAGACGGCCCUAUGAGUUGUAAACUGCUUUUAUACGAGGGUAAACCCAGACACGCGUACCUUUCUGCAUGUAUCUUACGAAUAAGGAUCGGCUAACUCCGUACCAGCAGCCGCGGUAAUACGGAGGAUUCAAGCGUUAUCCGGAUUUAUUGGGUUUAAAGGGUGCGUAGGUGGGCGGAUAAGUGAGUGGUGAAAUCCCGAGGCUCAACCUCGGAAUUGCCAUUGAUACUGGUAGGCUAGAGAGUAGUUGCGGUAGGCGGAAUGUAUGGUGUAGCGGUGAAAUGCUUAGAGAUCAUACAGAACCCCGAUUGCGAAGGCAGCUUACCAAGCUACGUCUGACGUUGAGGCACGAAAGUGUGGGUAUCGAACAGGAUUAGAUACCCUAGUAGUC
Molecule: ribosomal RNA, 460 nt
Filed under: uncultured bacterium
Lineage: Bacteria
Description: partial 16S ribosomal RNA
Rfam family: Bacterial small subunit ribosomal RNA
Source: RNAcentral